AACGAACGCUGGCGGCAGGCUUAACACAUGCAAGUCGAGCGCCCCGCAAGGGGAGCGGCAGACGGGUGAGUGACGCGUGGGAACGUACCUUUUGGUUCGGAACAACUCCGGGAAACUGGAGCUAAUACCGGAUAAGCCCUAACGGGGAAAGAUUUAUCGCCGAAAGAUCGGCCCGCGUCUGAUUAGCUAGUUGGUGAGGUAACGGCUCACCAAGGCGACGAUCAGUAGCUGGUCUGAGAGGAUGAUCAGCCACACUGGGACUGAGACACGGCCCAGACUCCUACGGGAGGCAGCAGUGGGGAAUAUUGGACAAUGGGCGCAAGCCUGAUCCAGCCAUGCCGCGUGAGUGAUGAAGGCCUUAGGGUUGUAAAGCUCUUUUGUCCGGGAAGAUAAUGACUGUACCGGAAGAAUAAGCCCCGGCUAACUUCGUG
Molecule: ribosomal RNA, 431 nt
Filed under: uncultured bacterium
Lineage: Bacteria
Description: partial 16S ribosomal RNA
Rfam family: Bacterial small subunit ribosomal RNA
Source: RNAcentral